Molecule: ribosomal RNA, 467 nt
Filed under: uncultured bacterium
Lineage: Bacteria
Description: bacterial SSU rRNA
Rfam family: Bacterial small subunit ribosomal RNA
Source: RNAcentral
GUCCCAGACUCCUACGGGAGGCAGCAGUGAGGAAUAUUGGUCAAUGGGCGAGAGCCUGAACCAGCCAAGUCGCGUGAAGGAUGACGGCCCUACGGGUUGUAAACUUCUUUUGUCAGGGAGCAAUUGAGUCCACGUGUGGGCUUAGCGAGAGUACCUGAAGAAAAAGCAUCGGCUAACUCCGUGCCAGCAGCCGCGGUAAUACGGAGGAUGCGAGCGUUAUCCGGAUUUAUUGGGUUUAAAGGGUGCGCAGGCGGCACGGCAAGCCGGCGGUCAAAUCGCGGGGCUCAACCCCGCCCAGCCGUCGGAACUGCCGGGCUAGAGUGGGCGAGAAGUGCGCGGAAUGCGUGGUGUAGCGGUGAAAUGCAUAGAUAUCACGCAGAACUCCGAUUGCGAAGGCAGCGCACCGGCGCCCUACUGACGCUCAGGCACGAAAGCGUGGGUAUCGAACAGGAUUAGAUACCCUCGUA